RNAcentral lists this long non-coding RNA (4438 nucleotides) under Capsicum annuum. RNAcentral describes it as "long non-coding RNA (CANN_LNC010555)". The record is from RNAcentral. Lineage: Eukaryota; Viridiplantae; Streptophyta; Magnoliopsida; Solanales; Solanaceae.
UAAGAGAGAGGAUUUUCAAGUGUUUCAUACAUUCAUCAUUCAAAAACUAAAGAGAAAAGACCUAAUAAGAGACUAUAUUGCCUAGCUUAUUACAUAGUACAAUGGACCAAAAUACCUUUAAUGAAAGGGGAGGUCGUGGGUUGUUUCUUUAACAUGUGCAAUCCCCAGAAUACCUUUAAUGAAGGGUGCUUAUUCAAUGCUCAAAAACCAUGGGGUCACGCUUCAAAACUUAUAGUCUCGAAUUGGCAUCAAAUGUAAGCCCCCCCACAAUCUUCCAUACCGGGUUUGUUUAAUGACAAGCUCAAAACGGGUCCUCCAUGCAUGUUCUCCUAACUUCAAGGUGACCAAGCCUUGAGCCUCUAUUUGUUGGCCUUUAAAGAUGUCAUCAAAAGAUAAGAUGGCCAUUUGUCCCAUAUUAAAACUGAAAUAACCUGAGUAAAUAAAAUUGAAAUCAACACUGGAUAUUAAGCUAAGACUAUCUAGCGAAAAUACUAUGCUAAAAUAUAACUAACUGUUUGAAAUACCCAACAUGGUGAAAGCAUAACUAUCUAUCUUAAAGCCUCUAAAUAAUAUUAGUUGUUGGGAUAAGCCCCCAACUAACUCCAACUAUCUGAAACUAAAAAGAGUACUAAAAAAAUAAUUACAACUGGUCCUCAAAUGAUGAGGACUCACCAAAUAUCGCUGCUGAUGCAAUAUAGAAUCGUACUAAGCGCAAUCCAAGUGCUGAGCAUCAGAACCUAUAUUAUAUGACAAUAUAACAUAGAGGAAGUAUAUAAUCAGUACUUUGAAUGUGUUGAGUAUGUGAGAUGAAAAAUAUCUAAUAUAGGCUAAACAUGAUGCAUGUAACAUGGUGAACUGAUGUAAGACCAAGUAAAUAAUAUGUACUAUAUGAUAAGCUGAACAACUGAUUACAAGGUCAUUCAAAAUCUAAAAAUAAACCCUGAACUAUGGACUAUGGGAGUUAACAUUAUCCUACAUACCCAAAUCUACCCAAAUCUGAGCUAACAGGGGUCCAAACUAUAAAUCUAGUUGGAUAGGUGUUCAGUACCUUGUCAAGGGUACGAGCAUUGACUGACAUGGAUCCACUAAACUAAUGUUUAAAAAAAUUAAGGUGGUAAUCCUUCUCUGAUGAGUGACCCUAUAUAACCUUUGGUGUCACCGUAGUUCUGAAACUUAGGGACUUCUACUUAAGGUCUCAACCUAACUGAUUGGUGAACCUUUAUCCCUACUUUUGUUCGAUGCUAAGUACUACUCUCAACUGAAUGAGACUGAUAACUAAAAUGCUCAAUAUAAUAAUAUUUUGAAAUUAACAAUAAAUGCACAAUCUGAAGUAGUCAAAAAUAAAUAGAUCAGAGAAUAUGACAUUCACAAGUAUAUGCAUGAGCUCCUAGGUAUUAGGUGUUUAUAACCCACCAACUUUGAAGGAUGCAACUAAAUAUUGCAAUAGUAAAAACUGAAUAUAAUGAGGAAUUUCAUAAUUCAAGUCCCAAAAUCAAUAAUUUAUCAAUGUAAAGAUGUUUUGUCAUUCCAAGUAUGGGAAGAUGCUAAAAUCUAUGGGAAGACAUAUAUUGAUGGUUUAGUUACAGGAAUAUACUAAAAAAUUAAGAAAUUUAUGCUUUCCAUCGAAUCCCAAGUUUGAAUGGUGAAUUUAACUUGAGAAAUUGAGUAAUCUUUGAGACUCAAUAGGUGGAAGGAAAUCCAUUGAGGAAAUCUCACAUACCUAGAGAUGGAAUCGUUGAAGAACUCUUUGGAAUUGGAGUUUGAAAUUGAAGAACCCUAAUUUGCCUUUGGAGUAGAAAAUCACCCCUUUUCUCUUUUUGAAGCUAACUGUAGAUCGAAUUUUGAGUUAAUGAGGAAUUUAUGGCAUUUUCACUUAUAUUACAGCCUUUGAUAGGUGUAAAUGGUGUAGUUUGUUGUUAAAAUAUUGUGAAAUUACCACAAAACUCCUCUAAAAUCAUUCAAAAAAUCUCUGGAAAUAGUCGCGAUGACUUAGACUACGAUUCGUAGGGCUUGGACAUGGGUCAUGUCCUAGAGUCAUGACCAGAGGACAAAAAUUUUGGUUCCUCACUUUUAUGACUGAGUACUCCUGACGACUCAUGUACUAUGACCACGAGUCGUCAUGAAGGGUCGUAGUCAAAGGAUUGAAAAUUCUGAUGUACCACUGUUGUGAUGACGAGUCCUCCUGAUGACUCGUUGUGUCCUAUCGAUGAGUCAUCGUCACUAUCAAUUUUGACAGUUACUUAGUAAAUUAACCACAACCUUUUUAAUUCGAUACCGGCUUUUAGCGAGACUGGUGGCGUUGGCAAGACAAUUCAAUCGUCUAUAUUUUGGUGGGUUUAGAGCUUAAAAACUUGGAGUAUUACAUCAAUUAUGAAGCCUUUAUAAUCUCCAAAAAUUAAAAGUUUACACAAAUCACACAAAAAUACAUUGAAAAUUGUGUCAAUCAUCAUCACACUCUGAAAAUACCACAAAGCAACCACGACGAGGGGUAAAAUUGUCAAAUCACUCAUAAAUGAAUAAUUCACAAAAAUAACCAAAAAUCAAGUCAUUACAUAGACCAUACAAAGGUAUUGAGCUAUAACUAUCCCUUCAUUUAAAGUUUGGUGGAUUAAUGAUCCACCGAUUUAUUAACUAAAACAAUUUUGAUCCGCUUUAUUCAACCUAAUUGAAAAUGGAAAUAAUUGACUAUUUCAAUAUUAGUUUACCGCUUUUAAAAGUACUUUUAUUUGUCACCUAGAUAUACUAUAUUUAAAAAAUAUUUACCAUCUAUAGCAAUUAUAUUAUAUAUUAAAAGUGAAUUAUGCAUGUAAUAUAGAUGUAUUAGAAGUUUAUUAAAAUUUAUUUUACUUGUUUUGGUGAAAAAAAUACGCUAUGUAUUAAAAACGGAUUAUGCAUGCAAUAUAAAUAUAUUGUACUAUAUACCGAAAGUGAAUUUGCACGCAAUAUAGAUGUAUUAUAAGUGUCUUAAAUAUACUAUGCUUGUUAAGGCAAAAAAUCUAUACUAUUUAUUAAAAAAGAAUUAUGCAUAUAUUAAAAUUAUAACGCUAUAAAUAGUAAAUAAUUUUUUAAAUAUGAUAUAUAUUGGUAAGUUUCCCAUUAAAAGUUGAUUUGAUAUGUAGCACGUAUUGACUUAUGAGAAACACGAUCACAUUUUUUUUUUUUUUUGUAUGUGAUGUGCUAUAUAUAGUCAGAAUAACAAUUUCUUUUUUUAAACAUAAAAUCGUAAAAUUAUACGAAAGAAAUGAAAAAAAAAACCUUGGCAAAAAUUAGGCGGAUUAGACUAUGAUUUCUAUUUAAUCAACUCAAUCUAUUCAACCUACAUAAUCAUUGGCGGGUUAGUGACCAUUUAUGUAUUAACUCGGCUCAUUUUCCCUGCCCAAUUUGCCUAUUUGAUACUCUAAAAUCAUAAGUACAUUACAUUUUUUUACAAUUUGAUACUCUUAAUCAUAAGUCUAUUACAAUUUUUUUUACAAGGUUUUGGGUUCAUUCGUUAUAUGGUCAAUUAUCGAUGUUCUUAGUUACAUGGUCAAUCUCAAAGGAGAUCAAUACAUAAUCGCAGAGAAUCUCAUGCAACGGUUUGUAAUUAUGAGUCUUAUUUUAUAUAUAUAAAAAUAUUUUCCAUACAAAUCGAGGAGAUAUCUUAAUAGGGUUAAUUUGUUGUCAACCUUUUUGAUAUAAAAAUCUCGGAUUUAUCUCUUAAAAGAAUAAUAAAUUUGAACGAGAUUGCCUAUAUUUUAUAUAUAUGUCAAUCUAGUUUACAUAUAUUUCAGGAGAAUGGGUUGCUGAAUGGCAACUUAAAGAUGCAACAAAGGAGGAUUACCAAGAGUAUGCCAAGGCUCAAUUGGAAGUGUUCGGACGUGCAACAUUUGGUUGGGCUUAUUGGACACUAAAAAAUGUGAUCAAUCAUUGGAGUAUGGAGUGGAUGAUCAAGAAUGGCUAUAUCACGCUUUAAUUUUUGAAAAAUUACAUGAUAAGAAAAACAACAGUGCCUUAAGUUUUAAAAAACUAGAAAACAACAAAUCUGAAGAUACAUAUCUUAACAGAUGAAGGUACACGUUCUUUUUUCUUAUAUAAAACGCGUAUAUGAAGAUACAUAUAUACAAAAUCUCUACUAGAUGUAUUGAGAUGCACAACAAAUAUUAUAAUUUUUUGAAACCUAUGUUGUACCCUGUAGUCUAAAUUUCCUUCAUUUCUGUGGUUUACCCUUAAUUUAUUUUGAUUCUUAUUGUCUACUAAAAUCAUAUUGGGUCAACCCAAAUUUAGCAAUUUCAAAGCCAUUAUGUUUAAUUUGGAUAAUCAAUAUGUUAGAGCAUACAAUUUAAACAUACAACGAAAGCAUGAUAACAGAUCACAAGCUUACAUAAUAAUAAGAUAAUAUAAACUAAACCAAUUAUGAAAAUACUUACCUCUUGAAGCUUUCACAAAAUUUGCCCGACGC